CAUCUAAGGAAGGCAGCAGGCGCGUAAAUUACCCAAUCCUGACUCAGGGAGGUAGUGACAAGAAAUAACGGACCGAAGCCUAUGUUUCGGGAUUGCAAUGAGUAGAAUUUAAACCCCUUUACGAGGAUCAAUUGGAGGGCAAGUCUGGUGCCAGCAGCCGCGGUAAUUCCAGCUCCAAUAGCGUAUAUUAAAGUUGUUGCAGUUAAAAAGCUCGUAGUUGGAUUUCUGGGAGGGCGCCAAUGUCCGCUCGAUUGCGUGUGCAGCGGCGCCCUUCCAUCCUUCUGUUAACGUUUCUUGGUAUUCAGUUACUGGUUUCGGGCUC
Molecule: ribosomal RNA, 322 nt
Filed under: Kahliella sp. Y7-1126-1
Lineage: Eukaryota; Ciliophora; Spirotrichea; Stichotrichida; Kahliellidae
Description: SSU rRNA
Rfam family: Eukaryotic small subunit ribosomal RNA
Source: RNAcentral